Non-coding RNA from Cyanistes caeruleus (blue tit), 278 nucleotides. The record is from RefSeq and is a predicted model, not a curated record. Lineage: Eukaryota; Metazoa; Chordata; Aves; Passeriformes; Paridae.
UGAUGUUCCAAGGGACUUGGAAGUCACCCCUACCAGCCCAACCAGCCUCAAGAUUUCCUGGGAUGCUCCUGCAGUGACAGUCAGAUACUACCGGAUCACUUAUGGUGAAACAGGUGGAAGCAGCCCAGUACAGGAGUUUACAGUGCCUGGCACCGUGUCUACUGCCACCAUCACUGGCAUCAAGCCUGGUGUUGAAUACACCAUCACUGUGUAUGCUGUAACUGGCCGUGGAGACAGCCCUGCCAGCAGCAAGCCAGUCACUGUCACCUACAGAACAG